This 332-nucleotide ribosomal RNA is filed under the name uncultured Oxalobacteraceae bacterium. RNAcentral describes it as "bacterial SSU rRNA". It matches the Rfam family "Bacterial small subunit ribosomal RNA", at positions 397 to 721 of the family's 1533-position model. The record is from RNAcentral. Lineage: Bacteria; Pseudomonadati; Pseudomonadota; Betaproteobacteria; Burkholderiales; Oxalobacteraceae.
CCGCGUGAGUGAAGAAGGCCUUCGGGUUGUAAAGCUCUUUUGUCAGGGAAGAAACGGCUGUGGCUAAUAUCCACGGCUAAUGACGGUACCUGAAGAAUAAGCACCGGCUAACUACGUGCCAGCAGCCGCGGUAAUACGUAGGGUGCAAGCGUUAAUCGGAAUUACUGGGCGUAAAGCGUGCGCAGGCGGUUUUGUAAGUCUGACGUGAAAUCCCCGGGCUCAACCUGGGAAUUGCGUUGGAGACUGCAAGGCUAGAAUCUGGCAGAGGGGGGUAGAAUUCCGCGUGUAGCAGUGAAAUGCGUAGAGAUGUGGAGGAACACCGAUGGCGAAGG